GAGGGUAUAGCUAUUGGUUGAGCGUAUGCUUAGCAUGCACGAGGUCCUGGGUUCAAUCCCAGUACUUCCA
Molecule: transfer RNA, 70 nt
Filed under: Camelus bactrianus (Bactrian camel)
Lineage: Eukaryota; Metazoa; Chordata; Mammalia; Artiodactyla; Camelidae
Also listed under: 2 other names
Rfam family: tRNA
About the family: Transfer RNA (tRNA) molecules are approximately 80 nucleotides in length. Their secondary structure includes four short double-helical elements and three loops (D, anti-codon, and T loops).
Source: Rfam by way of RNAcentral